UUCACGAACAGGCAAACCUGGAGCGAUCCAGGGACGCAAAGCCACGGGCCCCACGAGGGCAGCCGAGCCGUCGAA
RNAcentral lists this non-coding RNA (75 nucleotides) under Desulfuromonas soudanensis. RNAcentral's name for it is "c-di-GMP sequence". It matches the Rfam family "c-di-GMP-I riboswitch aptamer". Rfam says of the family: GEMM was predicted in a large-scale screen for bacterial structured RNA regulatory elements. Genes associated with GEMM are involved in a diverse array of functions, including chemotaxis regulation, signal transduction, secretion and chitin. The record is from Rfam by way of RNAcentral. Lineage: Bacteria; Pseudomonadati; Thermodesulfobacteriota; Desulfuromonadia; Desulfuromonadales; Desulfuromonadaceae.